Molecule: unclassified non-coding RNA, 437 nt
Filed under: Hevea brasiliensis (rubber tree)
Lineage: Eukaryota; Viridiplantae; Streptophyta; Magnoliopsida; Malpighiales; Euphorbiaceae
Source: RNAcentral
CUUGCACUUAACCUUUGGUGCCUCGUGAGGAUAUAUUGGAGAAAUACUGAAAGAGAACGUAAAUGUGCCACCCAUAUAAUAUCCUUCAUCAGGCCGAAUGGUGACUUCAAAGUUCAUGAGGUCAUCUUUUCCAUUGGGAAAUGAUAUGCUACAUGUUUUGGGUAGAUUUAGCUCACUUAUAUCUUUAUGAAGACGCAACUCUCCAGGACUUUGUUUCUUGACUGGUGGCUUUCCAUUUGCGUUCUCAGCUUGUUCUCUCUGCUUUUCUUUUACUUUGAACAACUUAAUCAUGGUCCCUGUUUAGAUGAGAAGAUGCAGAGUAGAAAAAGGGUAUUUUUUUUCUGAUCUCAGGUUAGCGUAAACCAGCAAAGGGAUUCUCUCUUCUCUCUUAUCGAAUUGAUUGAUGAGAGAGAAUCUAGAGAAAGAAACAAAGGAAA